Molecule: non-coding RNA, 63 nt
Organism: Chelonia mydas (Green sea turtle)
Lineage: Eukaryota; Metazoa; Chordata; Testudines; Cheloniidae
Source: Rfam
GGAAGGAUGGCCCAGUGGUUAGGGCGCUGACACAGAACCUGGGUUCAAUUCUCUGCUCUGCCA